RNAcentral lists this long non-coding RNA (2969 nucleotides) under Mytilus galloprovincialis (Mediterranean mussel). The record is from RNAcentral. Lineage: Eukaryota; Metazoa; Mollusca; Bivalvia; Mytilida; Mytilidae.
AAGGCGAGUGUGCUUCUAAGAAGUUACAGUAUGCUGUGUAAAGAAAUGUUUGAGAUACCUCUGCAUGUUACCGCAUCUGAUUUCUGACGGAGUGAUGUCAUUGAAAAUGCAAAGAUAUGUUUUGCAGCCAAAGAAGCAUGACCAAAGAAUCAGUCGACUAUUAAGUAUUCUUGAGACGAGGGCAAAUGGAUUCUAAGCUCUAUUAUCUUCGUUGGAUCUGUCUGAUCAGAGUAACGUUUCUGAUUACUUAAAGAGUAAGUGUCCAUGCACAACAGUAAAUAAUACAUGUGUCUCUUCGUUAAAAUAUUCACCACAGCAUAUCAUUCUCUGAUUCUCAAUAUUUUGAUCAGUUAAAUUAGAAAAUUUGCGAUUUAGAAAUGUACAUACCUUUCGAAGCGGUGACAACUACUCCACUCAAGCAUAACCGGAAAGCCCUCUCACGGUUUUCAUUGCAGAACCGAUUUUUCUGCGUGUGUAAAUUACCAGCCGUGUCGAUGGAUACAUAUAGAUUCUACCACUGCAUCGAGUUUGAUAUGAUAUUUAUCCACUCGAGACAGUUAAAUUUUCAAAUUUAAAACGCGAGGCUCGCGAGCGUUUUUAAAAAUGAAAAAAUUUAACUGUCGAGAGUGGAUAAAUAUCGUAUUACACCAGAUUUGGUGGUGGAAUCUGUUUCUCUAAUGAUUUUCAAACAAUACGCAGGCAAACUUAUUGCUUCUUUGCGACUGAUCUGCAAAAAGAUGUGUUCUUUUUAGGUGACGUCAUCAGACAUGGUCGCCUUUUUUCAUGCAAUAGGAAAUUUAGAGGAAAACUAGAAAAUUCGACGUCAUAAUCGGAUUUUAACCAAUGCAGAACUGUGAUCAAACGAACCACACGUUGAUUAAAUUUUUUUAUACAAUCAUGAAUGGGUGCAGAAAGGGAUAAAUUGACGAAGAAUUAGAGAAAUAAAUAUAAUAUACCCAAUGUAAUAUAACGUAUACAUGUUAGUCUACAAAUUAAGAGGAUUUACGCAGAGCUAUAUAAAAAUUAUAUAGAUUCGUUUGGCUUUGUUUGAUAAAGUUUGCCACUUGUUCCUUGAUCUCCCGUUAGAGCCUGCGUUUUUUAUGUGCACGUGAAACUAUGUUGCAAAGGUCUUUUAACUCCGUCCCAUUUUUGCCAGUGUCAAAUCAUUUCCCUGCUGAAAGUGGAUUAUUUGCCAAUCUCUGCUGGGUUUUUUUUUAUAUACUAGUGUUGUUUGGAAGUUCAAUGCUUGCGGGAUAGGAAGAACUGUUUGAUAACUUAGUUUGGAUAAUUCCUGCUAUACUUUUAAAGUAGUUUACUAUAUUUGACAGAUUUGUAGGUAUAAUAAAAAAGUUGUAUGGGUCAUUUUCAAAAAAUGUCGAAUUUUGAAACUGAAAAAAUUAUUAAAAGUUACUUAUUCAAACAACCCUCUACAUAAGCAAAUCAAAACAAACUGAACUUUAAGAACAACAUACUAAAAGAUGCAAUCUUGAUGUCAUACAAGAAUUGUUGAAACAUUUUUUGAUCGUGGUAAAUUAUUUGUCUAUCCUGUUCCAUUUUCAAAAGAAAUUUUGGGUUAUUAAGAAAAGGUUUAGAUAAAAUGUUAAGCUUGUUUUACGUAGUCUAUUAGAUGGUUUUCAAGAGAAUAAACGUCUAUAUAUAUUCAUUCUGUAAUAUAAUAGAUUAUUUGCCAAUUUUCCAGUUGUAUGAAAAAUGCUCUAAAAUUGGUUUCAAAGUUGUUAAAAAUUACACAAGUAUGCAAGUCUAAAGAUAGCAAUUUAUAUUGUUCGCAUUUUUUCACCCUUUUCAAAUAAACCCAACAUCAAGUAAAUCUUUCAUAAGUUAGUUUACCUUUCUCUUUAUUUCAUUGGUAACAGGAACGUGCGUUUCUGAUAUAUCACUAUACAAAAGUCUAUCCUGUUACCUUUUUGUCUAUCCUGUUACCGCGAUAUCAGUAUUGCACUUGCGAAUGCUUAAUUGGGAAGAUUAAGACGUUAUAACCUUAAGAUAAGUUCAAACAAUGAAAUAUUUCAUUCGUUUUGCAGCUAUAUGCGGUUAAGAUAAAAAAAAAAAAAAUAACGACGUUUUUGUCUACAAUUGUCUAUCCUGCUACUGUAACCAUAGCAACAUAGUAACAGAUAGACAUAACAGAUAUAUUUCUUCGUUUUAAUUGCGUUGUGAAAUAACUACUCCCUUUUUGUGAAGUGAUUUGUUUUUUCAUUGUGAAUUUGGUUUCAGCACGUUAUUGCACUUUUUACAAGUAUAAUGUUGGUGUAAUUAAUCAAAAUUGGUGGUAACAGCAUAGACAUGAAAAAAAGAACACUCUGUUUGUUUGACUCAAUGUCUUUGAAAUUUCUUUUCUCUACAAUGUCGUUCAAGAAACAAGGCGUUUUAAAUGUAAAGAUUACUUUGCACUUUGAGAUCAACAUGAGAUUCAAUAUUCAUAGGGAGAAUAAUUUAAUGGCUGAUUUAAGUAGCGGUAACAGGAAAGAAAUGAACCUCCUGUAUUUAGUUUGUAGAUAAUAUAUGUUACAUACAAUGAUAAAGAAGCUACGAUUUUUCGUUAGAGUAAUAUUUAACGUUCUUAAAAAGUCCCUUUUGCAGAUAUCAAGGCGAUCAGAAAAUCGCAAAAAAAAAUCAUGAAAAGUGUUUUCUGACACUGUAACGCAGAAAAAUACCCCCAAAAUCGGUCUUAAAUGCAGUUUAAUCUUAUCAAAAUAGAUGUAAGGUGUGUUUAUUAUUAAUGUUCUGAAUCACAAAUCCGACAAGCUUUCAUUUAAACCAUUACAACUGAAAUUUCCAUUAGAAAUAAAAAAAAAAUUAGCAUGGGUGUACUGAAAAUUCGACAUUUUUUGAAAAUGACCCGUAUAUUCUAAUUUGCUGUUUCUAUUAUUUUAUUUUCAAAGAAACAUUAGAAGGACAAACAGGUGAAACCUUGACACAGCCGGAAGUACCUUGCACAGAAGAUGAUG